RNAcentral lists this long non-coding RNA (776 nucleotides) under Bos taurus (domestic cattle). RNAcentral's name for it is "long non-coding RNA NONBTAT026629". The record is from RNAcentral. Lineage: Eukaryota; Metazoa; Chordata; Mammalia; Artiodactyla; Bovidae.
ACAGUGGUAAAUAAAAAAGUAUAAAAUAUGUAACCAUGGGGACUUUUAUGCCAAUGAAGUUGUCCACACACCUUGGGAUUGAGGACUACAUGCAGGAUCCAGAGGAAUUCAAAUAGAGCAAAAUAAUUCUUAGACUCUCCAGCCAGAAAUCAAGGAGAUGCUUAAAUUAACCGCUCAGAAGUGGGCACAUACAAAUUUCAGUUAUUUAGCUUAAGGUUAUAUUUUUAAAGGUCAUAUCACCAGGAACACCACUGAAAGUGACAAAAUUACUUUUGUCUUCCAGUAUGUUUAACAGUAUCUCUCAAGAGACAAAUUAAUUGUAGAUAUAAGAAUUUGACAUCAAUACCAAACCUAUGCAGUGUUAAGUUUAAUAGCUAUUGUUAAGAAAAAUAGCUACUGGAAGAAAUAAACAUCAUGGAGAAAUCUUGUUUAUUUCAAAGUACACAUAGGGUUUUGGCAUAUUAUUUUUAAAUCCUUUAAAUCUCUGUAUAACAGUGCUUUUGAUUUAAAUUUGAUUUACUGAUUACAGAAAAUACCACUUUUAGAAAAUCUUCACCUUUCUUUUCUGCUCUUCAAAAUGAAAAAUAAAACAUUCAGACUGUAUUUUCUUUAAGUGAAAUACUUUAUGUUAUAUAGAAUUUCAUAGCUUUUUGGUUUUUUAUCAUACUGGUAGCUCAACAGUAAUGAAGGCAUUCCUAUCUUGAUUUUUCCCACAUAUACUGUAAUUAAAAAAUUGGGGAAAGUAUUUUAAUGAAUGCAGUCUUUCAAAAUUCUUA